Molecule: ribosomal RNA, 651 nt
Filed under: Triticum aestivum (bread wheat)
Lineage: Eukaryota; Viridiplantae; Streptophyta; Magnoliopsida; Poales; Poaceae
Description: partial small subunit ribosomal RNA
Source: RNAcentral
AUGCACGAGGAACUACUCACCAUGAAUCCACUAAUUGCUGCUGCUGCUGUUAUGGCUGCUGGAUUGGCCGUAGGGCUUGCUUCUAUUGGACCUGGAGUUAACCAUCACAAACCGCUAAGCGGCACCCACACGUGCCACUUCGAAGAGGGUCUCAUCAAGACAGCACAACGACACCAUCAUCGUCACUUCUCUCCUAGAGGCAUCAUCGCCAUCGCAAACUCUAAGAAACAACUCCGACUUCACCAUAGACGAUCAUGGAACCAACCCACACUGGACCUGCGAAGUCACAUGCAGAUCCGCACCGGACCUCAGCCACCACGACAAGACAUCAUAGCUCUGACGCCGACCGAGAGCUACGAAGAAAAGUCACGCAAGGCUGGCGUCGUGGAAGAUCACCGAACGGACACCUACUGCUCGUCAUCGUACGCCGCCGACUUCACAGCAACAAACCAGCCUAGGCCAUUCCACGAACACAUCGAAGAAAGAGCCGACUACCUCAACCAAUGUCAUGUCUCCUACAUCGCUCCCUGCGACACCAUUCCCACAGAAGCCUCGACGACAACAGCACUGGUCCCUCCUGCUAAUGCCCAACUCCACGGAGAAGCCGUCGAGAGGGGAAACGACACCAACGUCCGAUCACAAAGGAUCUAG